UGGUACUACAGAGGCGCGAAGGUUGUCGCUGACCUUUUUGAAAGGUCGUGCACGCCGGAGUGCUCUCACACACAAUCCACCUCACCACUUGUGCACCACCAUGCGGAGGCCCCUUGCUCUUGGCUCGCUUCGAGAGGGGGGAGGCUUUCGUCUUUUUUACACACACACAAUACAGUCUGGUAGUAUAGAAUGUGAUUCAUUUGCGAUAACACGCAAUCAAUA
RNAcentral lists this unclassified non-coding RNA (222 nucleotides) under uncultured Russulaceae. RNAcentral's name for it is "sequence contains ITS1". Lineage: Eukaryota; Fungi; Basidiomycota; Agaricomycetes; Russulales; Russulaceae. The record is from RNAcentral.